Molecule: ribosomal RNA, 371 nt
Filed under: uncultured Burkholderia sp.
Lineage: Bacteria; Pseudomonadati; Pseudomonadota; Betaproteobacteria; Burkholderiales; Burkholderiaceae
Description: bacterial SSU rRNA
Rfam family: Bacterial small subunit ribosomal RNA
Source: RNAcentral
GUAGGGUGCAAGCGUUAAUCGGAAUUACUGGGCGUAAAGCGUGCGCAGGCGGUUCGYUAAGACAGAUGUGAAAUCCCCGGGCUUAACCUGGGAACUGCAUUUGUGACUGGCGGGCUAGAGUAUGGCAGAGGGGGGUAGAAUUCCACGUGUAGCAGUGAAAUGCGUAGAGAUGUGGAGGAAUACCGAUGGCGAAGGCAGCCCCCUGGGCCAAUACUGACGCUCAUGCACGAAAGCGUGGGGAGCAAACAGGAUUAGAUACCCUGGUAGUCCACGCCCUAAACGAUGUCAACUAGUUGUYGGGUCUUCAUUGACUUGGUAACGUAGCUAACGCGUGAAGUUGACCGCCUGGGGAGUACGGUCGCAAGAUUAAA